This 447-nucleotide ribosomal RNA is filed under the name uncultured bacterium. RNAcentral's name for it is "partial 16S ribosomal RNA". It matches the Rfam family "Bacterial small subunit ribosomal RNA", at positions 330 to 793 of the family's 1533-position model. The record is from RNAcentral.
ACCAGACUCCUACGGGAGGCAGCAGUGGGGAAUAUUGGGCAAUGGGCGCAAGCCUGACCCAGCAACGCCGCGUGAAGGAAGAAGGCUUUCGGGUUGCAAACUUCUUUUAAGAGGGAAGAGUAGAAGACGGUACCUCUUGAAUAAGCCACGGCUAACUACGUGCCAGCAGCCGCGGUAAUACGUAGGUGGCAAGCGUUGUCCGGAUUUAUUGGGUUUAAAGGGUGCGUAGGCGGUUUUUUAAGUUAGUGGUUAAACGGCGGGGCUUCACCUGGAUUUGCCAUUAAUACUGGAAGACUUGAGUUCAGACGAGGUAGGCGGAAUAAGUUAAGUAGCGGGGAAAUGCUUAGAUAUAACGUAGAACUCCGAUGGCGAAGGCAGCUUACCAGACUGCGACUGACGCUGAAGCACGAGAGCGUGGGUAGCGAACAGGAUUAGAUACCCCCGUAA